This 379-nucleotide ribosomal RNA is filed under the name uncultured bacterium. RNAcentral's name for it is "bacterial SSU rRNA". It matches the Rfam family "Bacterial small subunit ribosomal RNA", at positions 523 to 898 of the family's 1533-position model. The record is from RNAcentral.
AUACGGAGAGGGCAAGCGUUGUUCGGAUUUAUUGGGCGUAAAGCGCGCGUAGGUGGCAUGGUAAGUCGGAUGUUAAAGACCCACGGCUCACCCGGGGGAAUGCGUCCGAUACUGCCGUGCUAGAGUGCGGGAGAGGAAAGUGGAAUUCCUGGUGUAGCGGUGAAAUGCGUAGAUAUCAGGAGGAACACCGGUGGCGAAGGCGGCUUUCUGGCCCGUAACUGACACUGAGGCGCGAAAGCGUGGGGAGCGAACGGGAUUAGAUACCCCGGUAGUCCACGCCGUAAACGUUGGAUACUAGGUGUAGGAGGUAUUCUACCCCUCCUGUGCCGAAGUUAACGCAUUAAGUAUCCCGCCUGGGGAGUACGACCGCAAGGUUGAA